CCUUAUCAUUAAGCACAGUCCGAUCGGAUAUCCGGUUUGGGCAAUAAGAGAUGUAAAUAAAGUGAGGAUUUUAAAGCCCAAAGGCCUCCUUGCUAUAAAAACGCACCCAAAACGCCUCACCUGGACCCCGCGCGCACCCAGAAGGAUCACGUUCAGAGACAGAGGUGCAACAUGAGUCAAGAGAUUUCAUCUUUACUAAUUGGGUUGCGGGGGCUUUUGUUUAUAAAUUUCACUGUAGGAUCAUUUUAGCUAUGUUCAGUUGAGGAACGCAGCAGAUCUGGAUGACAGAAGAAACCGAAUAUUAACCAGGAAGGCCAACAGCUCAGGAGAAGCCAUGUCACUGGGGAGCCACAGCCCGCAGAGUGACUCCCUGACACAGCUUGUCCAGCAGCCGGAUAUGAUGUAUUUUAUUCUCUUCCUGUGGCUCCUGGUGUACUGCUUGCUGCUCUUCCCACAACUGGAUGUUAGCAGGCUCUGAUACGUGUGUCUGGAUAAUAAAAAAGACAGGACCCUGA
This 515-nucleotide long non-coding RNA is filed under the name Homo sapiens (human). RNAcentral's name for it is "non-protein coding lnc-DICER1-5:2". Lineage: Eukaryota; Metazoa; Chordata; Mammalia; Primates; Hominidae. The record is from RNAcentral.